AUGGCUCUCGCGGCCGCCGCCGUCGCCGCCGCGCGCCCCUCCCCGACCGGCUUGCCCCGCCCGUUAUGCCGCGCCUCCGCGCAUCCGUGCCGCCCUCGGCGGUUCCGGCUGGAGGCGAGCUUGUCGGCCUCCACGCCGGCGCCCGCGCCGGCGACAGCGGACGAGGGGGCCGCUGCGGGGCCGUGCCCCGUGGUCAGGUUCGACAUGGCCGACUUCACUGUCGCCGACCGCGUCAGCGUCGGGCUCCACGGACGGUCCGAUGAGAUGAUCUUCGAGGCCACGGUGCGCGAUCCUAGCAGUGAGCUGUACGGGUCGACGGUGGUGUUGCGGCAGCUGACUAGCUCACAGGCGAAGCGGAGGGGCCGCCGCGCGCUAGAGGUGCUCAAGAAGCUGGCCCAUCGCCAGAUGAUGUACCACUCUUACGCGAUGCAGGUCCAUGGCUACGUCACUCCGAGCAAGGCCAUGGAAGAGGGUGAUAGUCCGCUUGUCUUGGUGCACGGGUACCAUGGGAGUUACUCCUUGCGUCACUGGUUGCAACUCUCGGAUUGGCUUCCAACCUUGGAAGCAACAUUAGCAUUGGAUGAAGAACAAGUAAGGAGGGUAGGAGAUGAUUCGGUUGGAGGGCCUGCUGUAACUCGGCAGCUGCGUUUAAUCAGGAUAUUGAUGAGAGACCUUCUGAUUGGUGUAAAUUAUCUGCAUAGCCAUGGAAUGGCGCAUACUGAGCUUAGACUGGAGAAUGUUCAUGUAAGCCCAGUAGACAAGCAUGUCAAAGUUGGUAUUCUUGGGAAUGCUGUUGAUUUUCAUGACAAUGACCCCAGCAGCAGUGCAGUAGCAAGUAACAAUGAGAGGCGGAAAAUGAUGAUAGCAUUUGACAUGAGAUGCGUGGGCUUCAUAAUGGCAAAGAUGGUUUUGAGAGAGCUCAUGGAUUCAUCGACAUUCCAAAAAUUCAAGUCAUUCUUGAAUAAGGGAAAUGAUCCAUCAUGUCUGCGUGAGUUCCUUUUACCGAUUCUAAGCCAAAAUUCUCCAUCUGGGAAUAUUGGUCUGCAGAUGCUAGAUAGGCACUGGGGUGCUGGUUGGAAUCUUUUGGCCUUAUUACUGGCAACAAAAUCUGACAAAAGGAUAAGUUGUGUCGAUGCACUGCGUCACCCCUUCCUUUGUGGACCUAAAUGGCGUAUAAGUCCAACAGUGAAUGUCGUACGCUGGGGCUUGGGAUCUACUGCUGUCCGCCUGGCUGAAGAUUAUAUUUAUGGGCAUCAUCAGCGUAGACGGUUAGCAUAUUUCAUUGAGUUGAUGGAGGUGCUAAACCCUAAUUCAAGUACAGAGAAUUGGCUUCGCCUCCUACCUGGUCGCUGGUGCCUCUUAUACUGCACUGGAAGGCACAUCGGUCUAACACUUCGUCAGCCUACCCCCAGAGUCCUCAUCAGUGAUGCGUUCCUCACAUUCGCCGAAGCCCCAGAAUCUGUGGAUCCCAUUUUAUCUCUGACCUCAGAUAUUGGUUUCAAAAUCAUGCCGGAAUCCGACUGGCCCCACGACAAAUCUGGAACCGAAGGAAAUCUGUCAGUUACCACAUCGGCAAGGAUAACUCCUGGGAGGAUUUACACCAAUGCCGAGGAUGGUAAAGAGAGUAGUAGUAGGAUUACAUCUUCCAGAUAUCUUGGCGGUAAAUGGGGAAAAGCCGCAAAGAUGAAGCAACUGCCAGCCAGCCUCCCCACCGCUAGCGUUAACGUGGACGAGAACGACGUCGACGUGUCCAUGAGUUGCGGCUCAACUUUGAAAGUCAAGUCUGCACGCAAAGUGCUGCAAGAGGUCCGUACGCAGACGCCACCGGAGAUGUUCGACCUGUCAAAGAUUGUUUGCGGUACAUACAUUGAUUCAAGGUUGAUGGUUCUUCGCGGUGUUAAUGGGUCGGCUUUACUUUUCGUUAGAUCAAAUCGUACGUCUGACCCCUGA
Molecule: ribosomal RNA, 1950 nt
Filed under: Triticum aestivum (bread wheat)
Lineage: Eukaryota; Viridiplantae; Streptophyta; Magnoliopsida; Poales; Poaceae
Description: partial small subunit ribosomal RNA
Source: RNAcentral